Molecule: ribosomal RNA, 424 nt
Filed under: Verrucomicrobiota bacterium
Lineage: Bacteria; Pseudomonadati; Verrucomicrobiota
Description: Verrucomicrobia bacterium partial 16S ribosomal RNA
Rfam family: Bacterial small subunit ribosomal RNA
Source: RNAcentral
UGAGGAAUAUUGGUCAAUGGACGGAAGUCUGAACCAGCCAAGUAGCGUGCAGGAUGACGGCCCUAUGGGUUGUAAACUGCUUUUAUACGGGGAUAAAGUUAGGGACGUGUCCCUAUUUGCAGGUACCGUAUGAAUAAGGACCGGCUAAUUCCGUGCCAGCAGCCGCGGUAAUACGGAAGGUCCGGGCGUUAUCCGGAUUUAUUGGGUUUAAAGGGAGCGUAGGCUGUCUAUUAAGCGUGUUGUGAAAUUUACCGGCUCAACCGGUGGCUUGCAGCGCGAACUGGUCGACUUGAGUAUGCAGGAAGUAGGCGGAAUUCAUGGUGUAGCGGUGAAAUGCUUAGAUAUCAUGACGAACUCCGAUUGCGCAGGCAGCUUACUGUAGCAUAACUGACGCUGAUGCUCGAAAGUGCGGGUAUCAAACAGG